Molecule: ribosomal RNA, 497 nt
Filed under: uncultured bacterium
Lineage: Bacteria
Description: partial 16S ribosomal RNA
Rfam family: Bacterial small subunit ribosomal RNA
Source: RNAcentral
GAUGAACGCUGGCGGCGUGCCUAAUACAUGCAAGUCGAGCGAACAGACGAGGAGCUUGCUCCCCUGACGUUAGCGGCGGACGGGUGAGUAACACGUGGAUAACCUACCUAUAAGACUGGGAUAACUUCGGGAAACCGGAGCUAAUACCGGAUAAUAUAUUGAACCGCAUGGUUCAAUAGUGAAAGACGGUUUUGCUGUCACUUAUAGAUGGAUCCGCGCCGCAUUAGCUAGUUGGUAAGGUAACGGCUUACCAAGGCAACGAUGCGUAGCCGACCUGAGAGGAUGAUCAGCCACACUGGAACUGAGACACGGUCCAGACUCCUACGGGAGGCAGCAGUAGGGAAUCUUCCGCAAUGGGCGAAAGCCUGACGGAGCAACGCCGCGUGAGUGAUGAAGGUCUUCGGAUCGUAAAACUCUGUUAUUAGGGAAGAACAAAAGUGUAAGUAACUAUGCACGUCUUGACGGUACCUAAUCAGAAAGCCACGGCUAACUACGUG